Non-coding RNA from Brachypodium distachyon (stiff brome), 136 nucleotides. Lineage: Eukaryota; Viridiplantae; Streptophyta; Magnoliopsida; Poales; Poaceae. The record is from Rfam.
UCACUAUUCCGUCUGUCAAACAAAAGAUGUCUCAAGUUUGUCAAAAUUUGAAUGUAUCUAGACAUGACUUAGUGUAUAGAUGCAUUCAAAUUUAGUCAAAUUUGAGACAUCUUUUGUUGGACGGAGAGAGUACAUG